This is a non-coding RNA of Caenorhabditis elegans, 21 nucleotides long. The record is from Ensembl. Lineage: Eukaryota; Metazoa; Nematoda; Chromadorea; Rhabditida; Rhabditidae.
UAAUGUUUUAUCAUCCCCACA